Molecule: long non-coding RNA, 966 nt
Organism: Columba livia (rock pigeon)
Lineage: Eukaryota; Metazoa; Chordata; Aves; Columbiformes; Columbidae
Exons: 3
Source: RefSeq, a predicted model, not a curated record
GUCCGGGGCUGAGGCCGGUUGAGCAGCCGGGCAGGGCAAUGUGAGCAGCACCACGGCCCGGGCAGGGGGGCAGAUACCCCACGGGGUUGUGUAGAGGGGCUGCGGCUGCUUCAGCGGCAUUUUCUGGGCAAGCAAGGGGCUGGCAAGGCUGGCGCAGGGUGAGCAAGCAGGCACUGGGUGCCCCUGGGGUUCCCCCUGCCGCCCAGCCCCGUGCCACAGUGCCCUGUCCCAGGGCAGCCUGUCCCCAGCAUGGACGCUGGGCUGGGCUGGUGAGGGUGCGGUGCCACAGGAGCCGGGUGGCAGCCCCUGGCAGCGUUUGUCCCCGGGCUGCUUGCAGCCGUGCCCAGGGCUGUGGCUCUGCCGCUCCCCGGCUGCACCUCGGCUUUCAGGCCCCAGUCUGGAGGGGCGUGCUCAGGAAAUGUGCGCUCGGGAGAACAGGGAUGUUCGUGCUCUCAUCCUGCAGCCCUGCUCCCCUCGCUUGAGCCGCAGGUCCCCAGCCUGCAGGAACAUGCAGGGGUAGCACUGGUGCAGCCUUUCCCAGGGUCUUGUCCACCAGAAGCACGGACAGUCGCUUUUGGGGUUCCAAAUUUUAGCACUUCCUCUGGGAGUGUGGAAACUUCUCUGACCUGUGCUUGAUUCCAGGCUAUGGCGCUGGCGGCGCUUAUCGAGCUGCUCAGCUGGACCCUGGUUAUGAGCCUUGGGGGCGUCCCAGACCUGUCCCUGUAGGCAGCAGCUACUUGACUUCUCAGCUGGAGCCUGUCCGUGAGCCUCUGGAGGAUCCCACGGAGAUGGACUACGAGACUGAGCAGAAGACCUUUCCGAGGGGAAGCAGUCACUCAGUGCCAGCGUCAGAUGAAGAAACGGAGACAAUGGCAGCCACUGGCACGCCAGGUAGUUGCUGUCCCGUGGUCACCUGGUGUCACCAGUCGCAAUGACUGUGUGCCUGCGGGCUCUACCCCAGCUCUU